CCUACGGGCGGCAGCAGUGAGGAAUUUUCGUCAAUGGGGGCAACCCUGAACGAGCAACGCCGCGUGCAGGAAGAAGGUUUUCGGAUCGUAAACUGCUUUUCUCUGGGACGAGCAAGGACGGUACCAGAGGAAUCAGCCCCGGCUAACUACGUGCCAGCAGCCGCGGUAAUACGUAGGGGGCGAGCGUUGUCCGGAUUUAUUGGGCGUAAAGGGUCCGCAGGCGGUUGAGUAAGUUUGACGUGACAGUGCCCGGCUUAACUGGGCAAGUGCGUUGGAAACUGCUUGACUUGAGGGCUUCAGAGGGAUGCGGAAUUCCGGGUGGAGUGGUGAAAUGCGUAGAUAUCCGGAGGAACACCAAAGGCGAAGGCAGCAUCCUGGGAAGUCUCUGACGCUCAGGGACGAAAGCUAGGGGAGCGAACGGGAUUAGAUACCCUGGUAGUC
Molecule: ribosomal RNA, 441 nt
Filed under: uncultured bacterium
Lineage: Bacteria
Description: bacterial SSU rRNA
Rfam family: Bacterial small subunit ribosomal RNA
Source: RNAcentral